RNAcentral lists this non-coding RNA (136 nucleotides) under Domibacillus aminovorans. RNAcentral describes it as "Bacillus aminovorans FMN sequence". It matches the Rfam family "FMN riboswitch aptamer (RFN element)". Rfam says of the family: The RFN element is a highly conserved domain that is found frequently in the 5'-untranslated regions of prokaryotic mRNAs that encode for flavin mononucleotide (FMN) biosynthesis and transport proteins. This element is a metabolite-dependent riboswitch that directly binds FMN in the absence of proteins. The record is from RNAcentral. Lineage: Bacteria; Bacillati; Bacillota; Bacilli; Caryophanales; Bacillaceae.
AUUCAUCUUCGGGGCGUGGUGAAAUUCCCGACCGGCGGUAAUUGGAGCUCAGUCUCCUUAAGCCCGCGAGCCGAUAAGGCAGGAUCCGGUGCGAUUCCGAGAGCCGACAGUAUAGUCUGGAUGGGAGAAGAUGAAG